This 488-nucleotide ribosomal RNA is filed under the name Daphnia magniceps. Its description in RNAcentral is "partial 16S ribosomal RNA". It matches the Rfam family "Bacterial large subunit ribosomal RNA", at positions 1833 to 2588 of the family's 2925-position model. The record is from RNAcentral. Lineage: Eukaryota; Metazoa; Arthropoda; Branchiopoda; Diplostraca; Daphniidae.
CUCUUUCUGAUUAUAGAAAGUACCGCCUGCUCAAUGCUUUUGUAAAUAGCCGCAGUAUCCUGACUGUGCUAAGGUAGCAUAAUCAUUAGUCUUUUAAUUGAAGGCUGGUAUGAACGGCGAGACGAGAAAAAAGCUGUCUCUAAAAUAAUUAUUGAAUUUUAUUUUUAAGUGAAAAAGCUUAAAUUUGUUUGGGGGACGAUCAGACCCUUUGGAGCUUUAUUGUUUAACAAAUUUUUACUAGUGAGAGAUAGGAGGAUAAGUAAAACGAUUUUGUUGGGGCGACAGGAAGUAAAAAGUAACACUUCUUUUAUUAAACACACAUGAGUGAAAAAUUGAUCCUUAAGGAGAGAUUAAAAGAUUAAGUUACCCUAGGGAUAACAGCGUAAUCUUUUUGGAGAGUUCUAAUCGAUAAAAAGGUUUGCGACCUCGAUGUUGGAUUAAGAAAUUAGCAAGGUGCAGAAGUUUUGCUGGAAAGUCUGUUCGACUUU